RNAcentral lists this long non-coding RNA (2713 nucleotides) under Homo sapiens (human). RNAcentral describes it as "HSALNT0361309". The record is from RNAcentral. Lineage: Eukaryota; Metazoa; Chordata; Mammalia; Primates; Hominidae.
GCCCGCAGGUUCCAGCCCCGACCCGGGCGCGCGGGGCCGACUAGGGUCGGGUCCAGUGUGCGGUGGUCGCUCCGCUCCGGGCCGCUCCGCUCUGGGCGUCAGGGCGCGGGGAGCUGCCCCGGGGUUCUGUCCACCGGGGAGGAAAGCCACGAGCACUGAGCGCCUCCUGAGAGCCAGCCCUGACGUGAACUCAUUUUAUCUGCCACGACCCAGAAGGAGUCUACUGCUAAGAUUUCAGCAUGUCCUGUGGCUGAGUUAAUCAGAGUUAUGACAGGAAGGUACCGGGCACACCAUCGCAAUGCUCCAUCAAUGCUAGUAUGUUGUGUUCUUUCCUUCAUAUCAAGUCAACUCAAGCUUGCUCUACUUACCUGGUGUACACAGUCUAAGAACUGUAAGAAGACUGGAGCAAAACCACUCCCCUGACAGUUGAGGGUCAAGCUGCUCCUCUGACUGAAUUUGUGACCAAAAGAGAGCCACUCUUUUUCAACCAACAUCUGGAAGCCUUCAAGUGUCCUAUAAAAGGGAUCACUGAGUAACUGAACCAGGGAUGUCACCUAGGGCAUAAGCAGGAUGGAUUGUCAUUAAUUUUAGUUCUGAAAAAGGCCUAUUACUAAGAUAAAAGCACUUCCUUCUGAUGAUAGCUAAUUCACAAAUUUACCUGGACAGCAAAUUUGUUCACUAACCAUUCCAGGAUGGCCAAUAAAAUUAAUUUUGUAAACUUGCCAGUAAAAACUAAAGCUCAAAUUCAUUUUGGCUACAAGUUUACUUUCAGGGAAUUGAGACUUUAAUCCUUAACUGGCCAGUUUGCUGACAGCAACCUUUUCCUAAGUUAAUCAGAGGCCAGAGGAUCAGUUAAAAUCAAUUCUACUUUUUGGCAGAUGCAGAUUAAUGUCUUAAUGUAGUCUGAACUCACACUUUUCACUCUGGAGUGAGUUAAGGCGGGGCUUAUAGAGAGCCAGGGGAUGGACUGACAAAACCCAGGAAGGAUGGUCCACGCCUCACACUGCUGGUCAAGGGCUCCAUCCGCAAGCCUGCAUGGUACAUCUGUGGAUGGGAGAGCUUGAUGCCCGGAGCCAGAGCUCCAGGCUGCGUAGGGGCUAAGAGCUCAUGGUACGGAGUUUUCUGAUGGAUACCAGGUGCUGUUUAACACAGGACUUUCUCUGUCCAUAAACACAUUAGUCAUUAUACAAAAGAGUCAUCUGAAGAAUUUAAAAAUGACCAAAUGGAAAUAUAAAUAUAAAAUAUCAAAAAAUAUGUCUAAUAGUUUACUUGUGCAGUGAUGUCCCAGCCUUCCUCCAAACAGACCAAAACUGAGGAACCAUUCUCAAGUACUUCUGAUACAACCACAGCCAGCUGCAUUAUCCUGUGAAGCUAAGAGACAGGAAGGAGAACACAAUUAGACCAAGCGCUUUCUGAGUGCAGAAGUCAGAGAGAGUUGCUUUCAACCCUGGAUAAUCAAACGACUUAGGGAUAAAGCGCUUGCACAAAAGAACCACAUAAUGUUUUAAAUACCUAAAGUUCUUUCAAAUCAAGAUUAAACAAUGACACUUUUGACUGGAUGCAAUGACUCAUGCCCAUAAUCCCAGCACUUUGGGAGGCCGAGCCGGGCAGGUCAUUUGAGGUUCGGAGUUCGAGACCAGCCUGGGCAACAUAAGCAAGACCCUGUCUCGAAAAAUAAAAAUAAAAAAGAUACUCCUAUUUGUCUAUACUGUGUACUAAAUGAGAAAAAAACUUUCAAUAUAUUUGUGCUAAGUUUUUAAAGCCACAUCAAUUGGCUCAAAGUCCUUAAUAAACAAUUAAGGUAUGAGAAUAGUAUAUAGAUUUUAAAACCAGAUGUAUAACAUUGUAAUUUUAAAAAAUAUUUUAAUGAUCAUCAGACAUAAUUUGCAAUUUGAAUCCAACUCUGAACAAGAACAAAAAUGAAAAAACCCAUCUCUUAAACAGAGCUAGGCUACUUUAAACACAGGAAUAAGGCAAAUGCCCUACUCAGUAAUGAGAAGCUCCUCAUGUAACUGUUUCUACAACAUAGCUAUCACCAGGCCUGAAUUCUUUUGGGCUCAGAAUUUGUUCUAAGAAAUGGCUAUUAUUAAAAAGUCAAAAAAUAACAGAUGCUGGCGAGCCUGUGGAGAAAAGGGAAUGUAUAUACAUUUCUGGUGGGAAUGUAAAUUAGUUCAGCCAUUGUAGAAAGUAGUUUGGUGAUUUCUCAAAUAACUUAAAACAGAAUUACCAUUUGACCUAGCAAUCCCAUUACUGAGUAUAUACCCAAAGGAAUAUAAAUUGUUCUACCAUAAAGUCACAUGCACACACAUGUUCAGUGCUGUACUAUUCACAAUAGCAAAGACAUGGAGUCAACCUAUAUGCCCAUCAACGGUAGACUGGAUAAAGAAAAUAUGGUACAUAUACACCAUGGAAUACUACACAGCCAUAAAAAGAAUGAGCUUAUGUCCUUUGCAGUAACACAGCUGAAGCAAACUAACACAGGAAUGGAAAACCAAAUACUGCAUAUUCUCACUUAUAAGUGGGAGCUAAACAUUGAGUACACAUGGACACAAAGAAAGGAAUAGACGCCUGGGGCGUAUUUGAGGUUGGAGGUGAGAGGAGGGUGAGGAUAGAAAAACUACCUAUCAGGUACUAUGCUUAUUACCUGGGUGAUGAAAUAAUCUGUACACCAAACUCCCAAGAUAUGCAAUGUACCUAUACAACAAACCUACAU